This 497-nucleotide ribosomal RNA is filed under the name uncultured bacterium. RNAcentral describes it as "partial 16S ribosomal RNA". It matches the Rfam family "Bacterial small subunit ribosomal RNA", at positions 28 to 507 of the family's 1533-position model. The record is from RNAcentral.
GAUGAACGCUGGCGGCGUGCCUAAUACAUGCAAGUCGAGCGAACGGACGAGAAGCUUGCUUCUCUGAUGUUAGCGGCGGACGGGUGAGUAACACGUGGAUAACCUACCUAUAAGACUGGGAUAACUUCGGGAAACCGGAGCUAAUACCGGAUAAUAUUUUGAACCGCAUGGUUCAAAAGUGAAAGACGGUCUUGCUGUCACUUAUAGAUGGAUCCGCGCUGCAUUAGCUAGUUGGUAAGGUAACGGCUUACCAAGGCAACGAUGCAUAGCCGACCUGAGAGGGUGAUCGGCCACACUGGAACUGAGACACGGUCCAGACUCCUACGGUAGGCAGCAGUAGGGAAUCUUCCGCAAUGGGCGAAAGCCUGACGGAGCAACGCCGCGUGGGUGAUGAAGGUCUUCGGAUCGUAAAACUCUGUUAUUAGGGAAGAACAUAUGUGUAAGUAACUGUGCACAUCUUGACGGUACCUAAUCAGAAAGCCACGGCUAACUACGUG